GUGCAUUCGCAGCUCGUGCGUCACGACGCCGCCAGCUGAUCGGAGACUGGAGCCGGUGUGUGCUGGACGCUGAGAAGAGACAGAGCGUUCGGCCGUGCGGAGAGGACGCAGUGAUUUUGCUCCCCAGUCCUCAGCAACCCCCCACACCCAGCAUCAGGAGCCUGUGCCUCCCACACCCUCCCCUGGCUGAGCCGCAGUAGUUCUUCAGUGGCAAGCUUUAUGUCCUGACCCCGCUAAAGCUGCCAGUUGAAGAACUGUUGCCCUCUGCCCUUGGCUUCGAGGAGGAAGAGGAGCAGCUUCUUCGCCUAUCAUCUGGAAGAUUGGUCCAGAUUUUGGAUUUAGGGGUACUUAACCUCUGUGGGAUCCUUAAACCUGUCUAUUUCUCCACCUGUGAAAUGGGGAAUCCCAUAGAUGAGUAGGCAGGAGGGCAUCACAAGUCCACCUGUGCUGACUCAGAGCCUGGGCUCUUCUUUUCCUGGGGGUAAAAACAAAACAGCUCUUCAUACAAAUUGUCCCUCGCUCACCCCCUGACUAUACAGCCAGGAAUUGGGGUGGAGGGAAAGAUUAAGAACUAGUGGGAGGCUAGUCCUAUGCUGACUUCUCAUUAUACAAGGGUGACCCAAGGUUUCCCCUCUACCCAAAGUGAGAUUCCAGCUCCUGAUUGGGUCCUAGCAACCGAUGCCAUUUAUUUUCUUCCUUUGCUUUCCAGGAUAGUGAGACUCAGCUCAGUGCUAUGCAGGCAAGAAAUUGUCUCCUCCAGCCAUUAGGGGAGAUGGGUUGUCUGAUAUGAGUCCCUCUGCUGCCUCUAGCUCCUGAUUCAUUCUCAAGCUUGGGCUUGGGCUCAGAUUGUGGUUCAACUUUGGCCCAGUCUCCCUAACAGAAGAUGGGUUCAGGGGCUAUAGGAAGCUGUUUGUUCUGCUUGGCAGGAAACAGAGGGGGAAUUCUAGCCUAUUCUCUAUUUAUGAGAAACUGAAAGUCAUAGGGGAGAAUAGAUCACAUAACCUAGUCCUACUACAGCCUGAGAUGAGGGAUAGGAUGUGUAAGGGACUGCAGCAGAGAGGGGGAUGGGGAAAACCAAAUCUACUCAUACACUGCAACAAAGAUUGCUCUGUCCCGAGACAUUGCUUUCUUCCCCUCCUCGCUUUACUGGCCACAGUGUGUCCCUCCAGCACUGGGUUCAUGGCUCUGCUGUCUUCAUCCAACAUGGAGCCUCAGAGGUGAGGAAGGGCAGCCUGGAAACACAGAGGCAGGUGGAAGACCAGUGAAGGACCUGGCCUGGAGCCACAAGGGCUUGUCCCAGACAUUGGUCAGAGGGGCUCAUAGAAGCCUGGAGAGCACCAGGAAAGAGCCGCCAGCCUCAAUGAAAAGACAGCUUCCAGCCAUCUCCUCUCCAGACCUACCUCCCUUGGAGAUGAAGAGCUAUAAUGAAGUGCCCUGCAGUUCCUAUAUACUCACCCUCAAGGAGCAUGAGCCACCUGUGAAAGGAAACACGAGCAAAUUCAAAGAGAGGUUCAAAUGUGUAACACUAUGGAAAAACAUGUUUUUGGCUGGGGCUGUAGCUCAGUUGGUAGAAUGCUUGCUUUAUGUCCACAAAGUCCUGGUUGAAGCUUCUGCAUUGCCUAAAACUGGGUGUGGUGGCACAGGCCUACAAUCCCUGGAGGUGGUGGCAAGAGGAUCCUACAAGAGGUCAUCCUCUGCUACACAGUGAGUCAUCCUGAACUACAUGAGACUCUUG
This is a long non-coding RNA of Phodopus roborovskii (desert hamster), 1735 nucleotides long. RefSeq lists it as uncharacterized. The transcript has 3 exons. NCBI's taxonomy places the organism in Eukaryota, Metazoa, Chordata, Mammalia, Rodentia, Cricetidae. The record is from RefSeq and is a predicted model, not a curated record.